Condylura cristata (star-nosed mole) is the source of this 794-nucleotide long non-coding RNA. RefSeq lists it as uncharacterized. The record is from RefSeq and is a predicted model, not a curated record. The transcript has 3 exons. Lineage: Eukaryota; Metazoa; Chordata; Mammalia; Eulipotyphla; Talpidae.
GAGCUGGUGCGGCUAGGGGCGCCUUCCAGGAGCCCACCCUGCGGGACGGCCGGAGGAUUUCGGGGUGAAAGGCUCUGUGCAGGACGACUCAAAGGAGGCCUUUUUGCGGGGCGUCCACCUGCAGCCUGGCCCCUCGCGCUCUCCCAUCACUUUUCCCGACCCGAGACGACCCUCCUCCCCGCCCGCCAACACGCCCUGGUGAGGGAGCUGGCUGGAGGGGAGGGGUGAGGAACGUGCCCAGGCCGGGUCUCUGGAGAGGUCACCCGUCUGGGGGCCGCCGCCGCCACCCUCCCGGUGUUCCCGCUGACCUCCCGCAGGGAGGUGCCCCUGUGCGCUUCCGCUGCCCGAUCGCCAGCCCAGCCCGCGUGGGCCGGGAAAGCCCGGCUCCCUCGGCGCUCCCGCUGCAGCCCGAGUCGCGUGACGCGCAGGGACGCGCUCAGGGACGCUUCCAGCGCUGACCUCUGGACGCCGCCUUGGCAGCGCGGCGCUGUCCGCGUGCGACUUUCGCUCUGAUUGGAUUUCCCCUCUGUGCAGCCCUGCCGGUGGUGGCCAGAAUGGAGUCACCUGCCAGGGAAGUUGAAGCCGAGGACAAUACACGGCCCGGAUCACAGUAGAGGCUGGAGCACCUCACCUCAUAAGGAGCUUUCUGUGUAGCUGGGUUGUGGCCUGUAGCUGCCCACAGUGACACAACGAACAAAGGAGAUGAGGACAGCUGAUCUUCUGUGGGGAACAAAAGGGAAAAAUCCAUAGUGGAUUCUGUUCCUGGAUGCUUUUAAACGAAUGAUUAAAAGAAA